GGUUGAUUGGAGUUCAAUAAACACAGCGGAAGACAGUAAAACACCACUGAAUUCUUUAGUAGUGCCUUCUCACUUUUUCGUGUAUUGUUUGCAACUAAGGUUUCUUCUAUCGGGCUCCCAACUUCCAUACGGAUGGUAUACUCAGUGCUACUCUCGCUGAAUGGUGGGUUCUACGGUUUCUCCAAACGCUCUGACAAACGAUCGGGAGAGUUCUCUUUCAAUUCUCUUCACUGCCUUGACCAGUUAGCGGAAGAAAGGGGCAUUGGAGUGAGACCUCAGCGGGGAUAAUUACUGCUGCAGAUGUUCAAUCUUCUGAUAGUUCAGAUUCUGAAGAUGAAUACGGGGCUGUAACAACGGAUUCUAAUGAGUUUGACACUAUGGACUUUGAAGAAGGAAUGCAAUUUUGGGCUUUAUACACCAACCAAACACAUCAAUCCAUAAACAUGAUGUUAAAGUUAUUAAAAUUAAAUAUCGACUCAGUAAACCUUCCAGACUACCGGUCUCGUAGUACAGUCGUCAACUCGUACGACUUAACAACAUGCCCGCCAUGGGUUCAAUCCCCUAAUAGACCGUACCGCCAUACGUAGGACU
Long non-coding RNA from Anopheles arabiensis, 591 nucleotides. RefSeq lists it as uncharacterized. The record is from RefSeq and is a predicted model, not a curated record. NCBI's taxonomy places the organism in Eukaryota, Metazoa, Arthropoda, Insecta, Diptera, Culicidae. The transcript is spliced from 3 exons.